CUCAAAUGAUGAGUUCUGAUUACCGCCCCAGUCUGAUGUGUAGUGAUUGAGUGGGAACCCUCUGAUAUGCU
This is a small nucleolar RNA of Electrophorus electricus (electric eel), 71 nucleotides long. Lineage: Eukaryota; Metazoa; Chordata; Actinopteri; Gymnotiformes; Gymnotidae. The record is from Ensembl.